This 1144-nucleotide ribosomal RNA is filed under the name uncultured bacterium. Its description in RNAcentral is "bacterial SSU rRNA". It matches the Rfam family "Bacterial small subunit ribosomal RNA", at positions 221 to 1387 of the family's 1533-position model. The record is from RNAcentral.
AGGAUGGGACUCGCGUCCAAUUAGCAAGUUGGUGAGGUAACGGCCCACCAAGGCGACGAUUGGUAGCCGGACUGAGAGGUUGAACGGCCACAUUGGGACUGAGACACGGCCCAGAACUCCUACGGGAGGCAGCAGUGGGGGAUAUUGCACAAUGGGGGAAACCCUGAUGCAGCGACGCCGCGUGGAGGAAGAAGGUUUUCGGAUUGUAAACUCCUGUCGUUAGGGACGAUAAUGACGGUACCUAACAAGAAAGCACCGGCUAACUACGUGCCAGCAGCCGCGGUAAAACGUAGGGUGCAAGCGUUGUCCGGAAUUACUGGGUGUAAAGGGAGCGCAGGCGGGAAGACAAGUUGGAAGUGAAAACCAUGGGCUCAACCCAUGAAUUGCUUUCAAAACUGUUUUUCUUGAGUAGUGCAGAGGUAGAUGGAAUUCCCGGUGUAGCGGUGGAAUGCGUAGAUAUCGGGAGGAACACCAGUGGCGAAGGCGGUCUACUGGGCACCAACUGACGCUGAGGCUCGAAAGCAUGGGUAGCAAACAAGGGUACAUCCCCUGGUAGUCCAUCCCGUAAACGAUGAUUACUAGGUGUGGGGGGAUUGACCCCCUCAGUGCCGCAGUUAACACAAUAAGUAAUCCACCUGGGGAGUACGACCGCAAGGGUGAAACUCAAAGGAAUUGACGGGGGCCCGCACAAGCAGUGGAGUAUGUGGUUUAAUUCGAAGCAACGCGAAGAACCUUACCAGGUCUUGACAUCCGAUGCAUAGCACAGAGAUGUGUGAAAUCCUUCGGGACAUCGAGACAGGUGGUGCAUGGUUGUCGUCAACUCGUGUCGUGAGAUGUUGGGUUAAGUCCCGCAACGAGCGCAACCCUUAUUGCCAGUUACUACGUUAAGAGGACUCUGGCGAGACUGCCGUUGACAAAACGGAGGAAGGUGGGGAUGACGUCAAAUCAUCAUGCCCUUUAUGACCUGGGCUACACACGUACUACAAUGGCGUUAAACAAAGAGAAGCAAGACCGCGAGGUUGAGCAAAACUCAAAAACAACGUCUCAGUUCAGAUUGCAGGCUGCAACUCGCCUGCAUGAAGUCGGAAUCGCUAGUAAUCGCGAAUCAGAAUGUCGCGGUGAAUACGUUCCCGGGUCUUGCACU